AUACGGAGGGUGCAAGCGUUGUCCGGAAUCACUGGGCGUAAAGCGCACGUAGGCGGUCUUGUAAGUCAUCUGUGAAAUCCCGGAGCUCAACUCCGGGCCUGCAGUUGAUACUGCAUGACUAGAGCUCGGUAGAGGCGAGUGGAAUUCCCGGUGUAGCGGUGGAAUGCGUAGAUAUCGGGAGGAACACCAGUGGCGAAGGCGGCUCGCUGGGCCGUUGCUGACGCUGAGGUGCGAAAGCGUGGGGAGCAAACAGGAUUAGAUACCCCAGUAGUCC
This 274-nucleotide ribosomal RNA is filed under the name uncultured bacterium. Its description in RNAcentral is "partial 16S ribosomal RNA". It matches the Rfam family "Bacterial small subunit ribosomal RNA", at positions 523 to 796 of the family's 1533-position model. The record is from RNAcentral.